CGCUUAUUGGCCCGAAGAAUCGUGAAUAUUCAUUAAGCAGCCACAAAGGCAGGCUUGUUUCUUGACAGCACAGCCCCUUCUUUGCCAAGCGGUGGCAGGUGACCUGUGCCUUCACUUCACCAUACAACUGCACCCUCAAUCUUUUAUUUCACCAUGAGAAUAGCAGAGGGUGGGUGUUUCCAAUCCUUUGCCUUAUGGAGCUCAGGGACUCCCACAUCCUCAGGUCAGUUCCUUUCUCUACAGCCGGAUCCUUCUGCAGAACAAGUGUUUUCAGCGCUCUUGGUCCCCGUCCCCUCUACUCCCUUUCACCUGGACUCAAUGAGGCAACGGCAGAUGGCUACUAUCCCAAGUCCAAGUUUCUUCCGCAGUUGUAGCCUGAAUGAAGUAUAUUCACGAGGCCCACUUCAAGGUAGUACAACGAAGAAAAGACUACCAGUGCCCCAACAGAAGCUCGAGUCCCACAAGGAGAGCUGGCACAGACCUCCUCACAGUCCGGCUGCAUGUCUCAUAAAGCUGUUCCUAGAACAAG
This is a long non-coding RNA of Peromyscus californicus insignis, 529 nucleotides long. RefSeq lists it as uncharacterized. Lineage: Eukaryota; Metazoa; Chordata; Mammalia; Rodentia; Cricetidae. The record is from RefSeq and is a predicted model, not a curated record. The transcript has 2 exons.